RNAcentral lists this unclassified non-coding RNA (211 nucleotides) under plant metagenome. RNAcentral describes it as "partial contains small subunit ribosomal RNA, internal transcribed spacer 1, and 5.8S ribosomal RNA". The record is from RNAcentral.
UUUCCGUAGGUGAACCUGCGGAAGGAUCAUUCAUAAUAAAGUGUUUUAUGGCACUUUUUAAAAAUCCAUAUCCACCUUGUGUGCAAUGUUAGAUCUCGUCAAUCUUGGCGAGAUUUUUAUACAUCAACUCAUUUUUUAACUAAUUUGUCUGAAAAAUAUUAUGAAUACUUACUUCAAAAUACAACUUUCAACAACGGAUCUCUUGGCUCUC